AUUGAACGCUGGCGGCAUGCCUUACACAUGCAAGUCGAACGGCAGCACGGGAGCAAUCCUGGUGGCGAGUGGCGAACGGGUGAGUAAUAUAUCGGAACGUGCCCGGUCGUGGGGGAUAACGUAGCGAAAGCUACGCUAAUACCGCAUACGAUCUACGGAUGAAAGCGGGGGAUCGCAAGACCUCGCGCGAUUGGAGCGGCCGAUAUCAGAUUAGGUAGUUGGUGAGGUAAAGGCUCACCAAGCCGACGAUCUGUAGCUGGUCUGAGAGGACGACCAGCCACACUGGGACUGAGACACGGCCCAGACUCCUACGGGAGGCAGCAGUGGGGGAAUUUUGGACAAUGGGCGCGAAGCCUGAUCCAGCAAUAGCCGCGUGCAGGAUGAAGGCCUUCGG
RNAcentral lists this ribosomal RNA (394 nucleotides) under uncultured bacterium. Its description in RNAcentral is "bacterial SSU rRNA". It matches the Rfam family "Bacterial small subunit ribosomal RNA", at positions 29 to 421 of the family's 1533-position model. The record is from RNAcentral.